UCAAGUCCCGCGGGAGAGUCCGGCCUCGGCCGGCGCCGAAGGCGCAACACUGCCCGGAAUCGCUCAGGCAAAAGGACCGCGGGAAUAAC
Molecule: regulatory RNA element, 89 nt
Organism: Thiocapsa marina 5811
Lineage: Bacteria; Pseudomonadati; Pseudomonadota; Gammaproteobacteria; Chromatiales; Chromatiaceae
Rfam family: Glycine riboswitch aptamer
About the family: This family represents the bacterial glycine riboswitch. Glycine riboswitches usually consist of two metabolite-binding aptamers domains with similar structures in tandem.
Source: Rfam